AUGGAUUUUUGGUCCCGUAAUUCCCGAUCCCGGGAGCCGACGGCCAUGAUAAAGUGUGGGUGGAACCGGGACCAAGCACACCUUUCCGAUCUUGAAGCUUUGCCAGCCAUGGCGGACACCGGCCAACGGUCCGUCGCCGCCUUCCUGAGGGACGGUACCUUUCUCCCGGCGCGUAGAUGCCGCCUGUUCCUGGAGCUCUUCACACUGUCCGUCGUCCUCUCCGUGGCGCUCUACCUCUUCAAGUGCCUCGCUCUCGCGGGCGCCGCAGCAGAUGCAGAUCUCGAGUCCUACUUUCUCAGCCCGCACGACAUGGACAUCGCCGGGGUCUCACACUUCAUCGCAACCUGGCGGCCGAGCGAUUACCACCGGUUGCUCGCACCGGCGCACCUCGUCGCCGGCAUCGCCGUCGGAUCAGCGACCUACAUCGCCGCCGUCAUGGCACGCUCCGAUUCCGGCGGCGAGCAGCAGAAGCACCACACCUGCCCUCCUUCCUGCGCAAGGUGA
This 504-nucleotide ribosomal RNA is filed under the name Triticum aestivum (bread wheat). RNAcentral's name for it is "partial small subunit ribosomal RNA". The record is from RNAcentral. Lineage: Eukaryota; Viridiplantae; Streptophyta; Magnoliopsida; Poales; Poaceae.